RNAcentral lists this transfer RNA (76 nucleotides) under Actinomycetes bacterium. RNAcentral's name for it is "Actinobacteria bacterium tRNA-Gly". It matches the Rfam family "tRNA". From Rfam's summary of the family: Transfer RNA (tRNA) molecules are approximately 80 nucleotides in length. The record is from RNAcentral. Lineage: Bacteria; Bacillati; Actinomycetota; Actinomycetes.
GCGGAUGUGGCUCAGUUGGUAGAGCAUCACCUUGCCAAGGUGAGGGUCGCGGGUUCAAGUCCCGUCAUCCGCUCGA